CCUCCACAAAAAAAUUAUGACAAACAUAAACACUAUUACUACAAAUAAAAUAACCCACUCCCCAUUCUAUAAUCCCCCACAGACCAAAUGGAAAAAAAAUAAAAAAGAAACUUCUUCUCCUUGCCAUGGCGGUCGUGAACAACCAUCAGUAGCAGAGACCCAACUCCAAAAACGCCUUCAAAAUCAAAUUAAGCUUCAAGGGAGAUGGCUUUAGAGGCUUUCAUUGAUUCCAAAUAUCCAUUUGCAUUCUGUUCCAUGACAUCAACCCCAGUGACUGGAGACUUGGCACAACCUUCAAAUUCUGAUAAUGUACAACAUAAAGAUGAGCAGUUUCAGGCUGUGGUAGCUUCUCUCUUUGGUGCAUCCUCGGGAAAUUUUCUUGGUAUUUCAGCAAACAUUCCACACUCAAAUGUGGGUGUUGUCUCUGCCAGCACAAAUCCGACUGCUUUAAAUGGUUUGACCAACUUGGGAUUGAGAAUUGGGGAUAGUUCUUCACUUGCUGGGGUCAACUCAGCUGGUCUGAAAUUUCCUGAUAUGUAUAGAAGUUCCAAUGCUGACAUAGAUCACCUUAAUUUACCGGCAUUACCACUGUUUUCCUCACAUAAUUCAAGCAUUUCAGGAUCCUCCACUAAUAGUGAUUUAUCUGUAGCACAACUAGAUUCCCAUUUAGGCAGAAACCGCUCACAAGCGAGGAAGAAGAAAUGCCAGCAAAGAUGCUUCACUACCAAAUCUCAGUCUGGAUUGCAAAAGAGUCAGAGGGCACUCCUAAAUGCUGAAGAACAGGAGCUUUCUACCUCAAAUAAGACGCAUAAAAGACCCAGAUUAGACAUUAAACAAGAUGCUGCUUUACACCAGCAGGCCAUUCAGCGACAACGGCAGAGUCGAGACAAAAUGCAAUUGCAAAGUCAUUCUCCAAUGCUAGACGCAUUAGAUCAGCAGCAUGAGCUAGAAAAUCAGCGGCAGCAAAAGAUUUUGCAGUCAGUUCCAGAGUUACGAGGAGUUGACAUGAAGAACCAGAGGCAGCAACAAAUGAGGGAGUACCUCCAACAGCUGGCAGAUCAACAAGUAUAUCGUAUGCACCCUUGCAGUGGUAAUGUAUGUUCACGCCGGCUGACACAGUACAUGUAUCAUCUGCAGCAUCGCCCACCUGACAAUAGUAUUGCCUACUGGAGGAAAUUUGUGGCAGAGUAUUAUUCGCCUCGCGCAAAGAAAAGAUGGUGCUUGUCAUUAUACGAUAAUGUUGGGCAUCAUGCACUUGGUGUUUUCCCUCAAGCAGCUAUGGAGGCAUGGCAGUGUGAUAUGUGUGGUUCUAAGUCUGGAAGAGGAUUUGAGGCCACUUUCGAAGUACUUCCUAGACUAGAUGAAAUCAAAUUUGGCAGCGGUGUCAUUGAUGAGCUUUUGUUUUUGGACUUGCCACGUGAAUUUAGAUUUCCUUCUGGAAUAAUGAUGCUAGAGUAUGGAAAAGCAGUUCAAGAGAGUGUAUAUGAGCAACUUCGUGUUGUUCGUGAGGGUCAGCUUCGUAUCAUAUUCACCCAUGACUUGAAGAUUUUGUCUUGGGAAUUUUGUGCUCGGCGACAUGAAGAACUUCUCCCACGAAGGGUGGUUGCACCACAGGUACUAUUUUGAGUAUUUAGUCUCCUGCUUUAACAUUGUUGCCCCAAAUGAUGUGUUGCAUUUACAGUCUGGUAUUUCUGAUUCUCUUGUUCACCGGAAUCUUUAAGUGGAAGCUCUUUUUAUGUUUCUGAAGAAAGAAAAUAAUCUGGAUUAUUCAUUAAUUCUCUCAGAUAAACAUUUUAGGGUCAAAAUUGAUCUGAAAACCUAAAGGUCAAAAUUGCUUCAUUUUCCAAAUUUGGAUUAUGUACCUUGGUAAAACUUUUAAGGAAUCUGCACAUCUGAGGCAUUAUUUUGAAAAAUUUUAGUUUAAUAUGCAGAUUUUUUUUGAUGAGCAUGCUUGAUUGAAUUUUUUUCAGAGAAACAGGAAUACGCUUAUUUUCAUUUCCAGCAACUAUAGCUUUCUGGAGUAGAUAGGAGAAGCAAAGAGAGGGUGAAAUGAUGUGUCAGCCGUUUUGUACUUGUCUAAUAAAUGAAGCAACUUUUGUUAUUUAAUCUUCUACACUAUUAAGUUUGAAAUAAAAUACUGAAGCCUUUGUUAUCUAUUUAAGUGGAGUUCCCUUUUGCUUUCACAGGUGAGUCAGUUGGUUCUGGUUGCUCAGAAAUGCCAGAGCACAAUUGCUGAAAGUGUAUCUGAUGGGGUUUCUCAGCAGGACUUGCAAACAAACAGCAAUAUGUGAGUAAAUUGAUCAAUCACUUGAAUCUUUCCCUUCUCUGGUUGGAUGUUGCUUGUUCAGUUAUUUUUGGCUGAAGUCCUAUGAUUCUUUGAAUGGUAAGAUGCCCUGAGGCACAAAUUAGUGAAAACAGGGAUCAAAUAGAUCCCAUUAUUGAGGCUUACGGGCAAAAUGAGAACCAAUAUGAUGCGCUCUUGGAAUUCCCUUAAGAAAAUGUCGUCUCUGCAAAUGAUUUUAUUUCUCAUAGUUGUAUCUGUGGAGGUUUUUCUGAAAGUCAAUUGUGCAUAUGUGGAACUUGACCCUGGUAUUUCAUUUGUGCACAGUAGAUUCCCUUGUUGGUGCAAUUAGGUUUAGUAGUUAAUACUAAUCCAAUGUGAAUUGUUUUUAAGGGUCCUUACUGCUGGGCGACAGCUUGCAAAGGCUUUGGACUUGCAGUCUGUAAAUGAUUUGGGUUUUUCCAAAAGAUAUGUCAGGUGUUUACAGGUAUUAUUUUACUGGUUUUUGGAUCUGGAUUUCAGUAGUGAAAUGAAAUAAGAUUCUCUUAUGUGCUUCAAUUCUUCUUGUAAGUUCUCACUACCGUUUGUGAUAGAUCUCUGAGGUUGUCAACAGCAUGAAGGAUCUGAUUGAUUUCUGCCGGGAGCAAAAAUUUGGGCCGAUAGGUAAUCCCUUUAUGGCUGGUGUGGGUUAUAUAGGUUUUGCAUGUUAGCUAUUGCUUAUGAUAUGUGGGUAUAUAUAGCUAUUACUUACGAUAUGUGGGUAUAUAUAUUAUGGGCUAUGGGGGUUCAUUUCUGGAGAAAUCUUUUGCACUGAACAAUUCUUAUUGCAAUUAUGCAUUCCAAAAAGGGGAGAUUAUUAGAUACCUGCAACGCAUUACACAUUCACUCGUAUAGAUGUGGGUGUUUCAUGAUUUGUGGAAAGCCCACCAUGUGUGUGAGUGCAAGGUUCGUUAUUUUUUUUAUUGCACUAUGAGCGUUCAAUAAUUUCCCCUAAAACAGCACAAUUUCAAGUACGCUAACUGUGUUGGAAGAUGAAAUUUGUAUUAUUCAUAUGGCACCUCUCCACAGUUUGGAGAGUGAUGUUAAAUUCAUUAGCACUAAAUAUAUUUUUCUUUAUUAUGUGUCUUCCUUAGCAGCUAGGUGUUUUAUGGUUUAAUAUGGAAAUCAUUUAAAAUGCAAUUUUGAAAAUACACAUUUAUUUCCACUGCUUCCCUCUGAUUGACGUAAUUUCAUGUUUUAUUUUUGGCUUUUUUUAUAAAUCUUCUUUGUGGUCAAUUUGAUUCCUACUACUGUAGAAACUAGCUUUCUUUUUCUUAUUUUCUUUAACUCUGUCCAUCUUGCAUUGCUUCAUGUCUGCUUAAAAGUUGGUAUUUAUCUGUUUGAACUCUAGCAACUCCUGCUUUGUUGUUUCUGUGACUGGUUGCUGAUGCAACUAGAGACUCUUAUUUGUACCCUGCAGUAUAUUAAUGGAAAUAUGAUUCCAAUCCUUACAGAGGGCUUGAAAAAUUAUCCUCGUCACAACAGUGUAACCAAAAUCCAGAUGCAAAAGAUGCAGGAAAUGGAGCAGCUAGUGAAUGUUCAGGGCCUGCCAACUGACAGGAACACCCUUAAUAAGCUGAUGGCAUUACAUCCUGGCAUAAACAAUCAUGUGAGCAACAAUAAUCACGUUGUUAGUCGAGGAGCUUUAAGUGGUUCAGCACAGGCUGCUUUGGCACUGACUAACUACCAGAAUCUACUCAUGAGGCAAAACUCUAUUAAUUCGAAUUCUAACUCACUUCAACAAGAGUCUACAUCAUCUUUCAACAGUUCUCAUCAAAGCCCAUCAUCAAACUUCCAAGGAACUGCUGCUUUUGUACCAGGAUCCAUGCAAAGCUUACCUGCAAGUGGCUUUUCAAGUUCACAAAUACCUCCCCAACAGCCACAGCUGCGAACAUUAAGCACUAAUGGCUUACUCCAACAAAACCAUCCAGCGCCCUCUCAAGGCAACCAGGCCAUGCAACAGCAGAUGAUCCAGCAACUGCUGCAGGAGAUGUCUAAUAAUAGUGGGGGAGGAGUUCAACAACAUCCUUUUGCUGGACAGAAUAUGAAUGGGAGUAUGGCAAGUAAUGGAUUGGGUUUCGGAAGCAACUCUUCUGCAGCACCUCCUGCUGCUGCCAUUGUGUCAGGAAGUGUUGCUGGAUCAGCACCAAGUAGGAGCAACAGUUUUAAAGCUGCUUCGAACAGUGAUUCUUCUGCAGCUGGUGGCAAUAGUGGUUUUAAACAGAAAGUGCCAGAAUUGCCUCAGAAUCUCCAUUUGCAGGAUGACAUUGUUCCUGAUAUUGCCCAUGAGUUAACUGAUAAUGGCUUUUUUAAUGGUGACCUUGAUGAUAACAUUGGAUAUGGUUGGAAGGCAUGACUAACAUGGUAUGGCCCAGUCAUUUGCUGUCAUUGAGCAAAUGUUGGCCCGAUAUAUUUGUACAGAAUAUUAAAUAGCUGCUUUGCCCCACCUCGCCUUGCUCUUCUAAUUAUCGAAUUUGUUGGGACAUCAGGGACUUGUAUUUCUAUAGUUAAUUAGCUUCUCUCUGUUUUUGUUUUCUUUUUUCCUUUUCUCUUCUUUUGAGGGCUUUCUUUCAAGUGUAAUCUAUUGGACUAAAACUGGAACAGCGAAUAUGAUAUUUUAAUGAGUUCUGCAAUAUGGGAUUUUAUAACGGACUCGAUAUCUCCUCCUUGCUUGUAUCAAUGAUUUCAAAUAGCUGAUGAGUUGAGGAAGAUUUUUGUUUUACUUGUUGUAGCUGUGUAACCUUUCGCAAAAAAGGAUCGAUCCAAAAUUGUUGGGUUCAUUUUUUUCUUUCUCAGUAUAAUUUUGUUUUUG
This 5132-nucleotide unclassified non-coding RNA is filed under the name Hevea brasiliensis (rubber tree). The record is from RNAcentral. Lineage: Eukaryota; Viridiplantae; Streptophyta; Magnoliopsida; Malpighiales; Euphorbiaceae.